Molecule: long non-coding RNA, 600 nt
Filed under: Elaeis guineensis (African oil palm)
Lineage: Eukaryota; Viridiplantae; Streptophyta; Magnoliopsida; Arecales; Arecaceae
Description: long non-coding RNA (EGUI_LNC006490)
Source: RNAcentral
GACAUUCGGCUUGCCACUGUCUGUCAAAAGACAUGGAACCCGACGCAGAGUGGGGACCCGACUUACUAUCGUUCCCUGACAUUGCGACGCAAAUGACCGACUAAAUGCAUCUACGGGAGUCCGAACCCCUAACCUUUACAAGGUUCGGUCGGCUCCCGACUCAACGGAUGGAUCCAAUUGGCAACUUCGACUACCCGAAGCCGACCUAGAGUCGGGACGUAUUCUACCUUCGGGGCUGCACAAAUUGUCGAAGUCCUAUCGGCUUACGUAAGUUGGCGACUUGCUUAAGUUGGUGACUAAGGUUCCACGUCGCAGCAAUGGUCGGCAUUACAAACAAGAAGGAAAAGAAGAAAAUUUCAUUCGUUGAUAAAAGGAAAUUACAGAGUCGGGACGAAGCCCAAUUACAUGUAUUUUCAAAAAGACAAAAAUAAAGAUGGUCGGCAGGGUCGAUCACCCGUCCUGGUCGAUCUCUUCGACCGACGGAGGAUCGGGGAUGAUCGGCGUCUCGGCCAUAAGCGACGCUUGGUCGGCCGCCGAGGGAUGGGCUUCGGUCGACAAAGGAACUUCGGUCGGCGCCUGCUCCGGGACGGCUUCCUCCAC